CUCCGUCUCAUUCGUCAAAGCGGGGGAGGUCUGUGAACCGCGGUCUCUGGACACAGCGCUCUCUGUCCCCGGCGGGGGAUCUCCCCCAGCAGAUAACUCUGCGUCACGCCCCUGCCUCCUGGGGCUUCUCCAGCCGGCAUCCAGCAGCCUGGCUUUGUGUUCCGAGGGCCUAUGAAGGCAUGUGGAGACUCAGACUGGGAACGAAGUGACCUUCUUUUUGAAAAGCCUGUUCCAUCCCGGGGGACCUGGUUGGCUGAGACCUCCGGAGCCAACCCCCCAGGGUGCUGGUUUACGAGCAGCGCCUUUCGCAUUUCUGCGCAUCAGGACCACACCCGCCCUGCCUGUGGCCUGUGUCCUGCCACCAGUACCCAGCCACCUGCAGAGAGAGCACGCCUGCAGCGGGUGGUAGGGAGGGGGACAGGGUCCCAUCGCAUACGUCUAGGCUCAGAGAAGAGGAAGGAAAGACGGGAAUUUGAUUCUUACGUGGGAGCUACGAAAAUCCAUCUUUGAACGAAGACGACCAGACGAUGGGAUGCAGACGGGCAGGGGCUGCCCAACACACGGAGCUCCAAGGGCGGUCAGGACACACCAUGAAAACAGCCGCCGCUGAGGAGCCUCAGGACACGCGCAGAGCUGUGCUGGCAGCCUGACUUUCAUCCGAUCCUCAGUCAGCCCUGCAAGGUCGGUGCUCCUGCUCCCAUUUGACAGCUGAGGAAACUGAGGCACAGAGAGGUUAAGUCACUUACCUAAGGUCACACAGAAAGCGAUGGUCUAGGGAUUUGAGCCAAGGUCUGUCUUGACUCCUCCAUCAGUGCCCUUUGCUCUUUGUGGCACCGUCAGGAGCAGCAUAUUGGGUCUGCGGGCCAAGGGCCACUUACCAAAACGGCGGGAUUCUCUCUGCACUGCCACCACCCAGAGAGCCUGGCAGGGGCGGGAUGGUCCGCUCCACCCAUCCGUCUGGGCUUCCUCUCCAGGGCUCCUUCCCUCACCGUCUCUUUUUCCAGAAGGGCUCACAACCCCGUCAAGCCGCCAGCGUCACAGAGAGAGGCACCUCCGCCGGCCCGCCCUCCUCCGUCCCUUGCUCUUCCUGCCCUGGGGCCAGGCUGGUCCCUCAUCAUCCACCGGCACCCCCUCAUGGUGUCUCCCCUCAGACGAGGACAGCGCGGCACAGAAAGGCUCACCACAGGUUUGGACUGAAGUACCACCACGCACGUCAUAGUCUGCCCCGUCCUGGACCUGGGCUGAGCAGGAUGUGGACAGAUUCCCAAGGAAGCAGGCAGCUGGGCCGACAGCCAGCCAGGCCCGGUCCACCCCAAGCAGCCAAAUUCUUCCCGCCUGCCUCUGACCCACCCUGGGGCUCCGAGAAAGAAGCCGGGCUCCAAAGACAAUUUCUAAUAAAGCUAAACGAGAGGAAGCUCUGAAAUGAGAGCGGGGGCGGGGGGGCCCCGGGCCUUUGAACCUGCUGGGGUGGCACUGGCCGGUGCCCCAGUGGCCUCCACACUCAGCCUCCCUUAUGAAAAUAGGCCGGGUGCGUGGGCCUCGGGCAGCCUGGAGACGGAUGCAGGUCCGUUGGCACCCUCAGCCGGCAAUGUGCCGCAGGGCGCCCGGAGCCCAGCCCAGGUCGGGCGGGUGACACUGGCAAUGCUGACCUGCCCCCAGUGUUUGGCUGGGCCGCGGAAGGAGACUGGCAGGUCCUGGGCGGGGAGGCCUUGACCAGCGGAGAGGCAGAGCACAGAGGUCACGGGCCGGGGAUGGGGUCAGACUGCCCACGGCAGAUCCUGGCUCUGCCCUCCGAAGGGCCCCAGUUUGUAGGGGGAGACUGGGUCUAGCUUGCAGCCCCCUGGGGGCAGGCGGGACGGAUUACCGGGAGGCAGGAGGGCUUGCUUUCGGGGGGGUCUGAGCCCCCCACCCCAGCGAAGCCUCUUCCGGCCGGGGAGGGAGGGCACAGCCCACGCCCUCAGCCUCGCCCUCCUCCCGCCCUCCGUCCCCCAUCCCCCAUCCCGCAGGAGGCCCUGUCUGCUCGCCGCUGCUCUUCGGCCCUUUCCCCACACUUCCACCGAGGAUUUAUGGUUUUAAUAAUGCAGACUUUGUCCACCAGCCUCCCUUCUGUUUAGGCCCCUCUAAAGAUCCUUAAAAUUAAAACACUAAUCAGGAAUUUAUUUUCUCAUCAAUCCUGCCCUUCA
This 2183-nucleotide long non-coding RNA is filed under the name Equus caballus (horse). RNAcentral's name for it is "lncRNA (ENSECAG00000047424.1)". The record is from RNAcentral. Lineage: Eukaryota; Metazoa; Chordata; Mammalia; Perissodactyla; Equidae.